AAGUCAUGUUGAAGACAAUUUCUACGAAGACAUUUGUACCUCUCCCACGCUUCGUAUAAGGACUCUCCCAUCUUUUGUUCGAAAUUGGCUAUAUUCUUCUUCAAUUU
This is a small nucleolar RNA of Lactuca sativa (garden lettuce), 107 nucleotides long. The record is from RefSeq and is a predicted model, not a curated record. NCBI's taxonomy places the organism in Eukaryota, Viridiplantae, Streptophyta, Magnoliopsida, Asterales, Asteraceae.